This 148-nucleotide non-coding RNA is filed under the name Pan paniscus (pygmy chimpanzee). RNAcentral also lists the same sequence under 1 other name. The record is from Rfam by way of RNAcentral. Lineage: Eukaryota; Metazoa; Chordata; Mammalia; Primates; Hominidae.
GCCAGGCGUGGUGGUGCGCGCCUGUAGUCCCAGCUACUUGGGAGGCUGAGGUGGGAGGAUCGCUUGAACCCGGGAGGUGGAGGUUGCAGUGAGCCAAGAUCGUGCCACUGCACUCCAGCCUGGGUAACAGAGGGAGAUUCCAUUUCAA